GUUCUAAUAGUUUAAUAAAAAUAUUAAAUUGCAAAUUUAAUGAUACUUUGUUUAGGAUUAGAAUU
RNAcentral lists this transfer RNA (65 nucleotides) under Leptobelus gazella. Its description in RNAcentral is "tRNA-Cys". The record is from RNAcentral. Lineage: Eukaryota; Metazoa; Arthropoda; Insecta; Hemiptera; Membracidae.